RNAcentral lists this ribosomal RNA (820 nucleotides) under uncultured bacterium. RNAcentral describes it as "bacterial SSU rRNA". It matches the Rfam family "Bacterial small subunit ribosomal RNA", at positions 51 to 878 of the family's 1533-position model. The record is from RNAcentral.
ACACAUGCAAGUCGAGCGAUGAAAUUUUGACAGAUCCCUUCGGGGUGAAGAUAAAGUGGAUUAGCGGCGGACGGGUGAGUAACACGUGAGUAACCUGCCUUAGACAUUGGGAUAGCCUCGGGAAACCGGGAUUAAUACCGAAUAAAAUCACAGAUACACAUGUAUCCAUGAUCAAAACUCCGGUGGUCUAAGAUGGACUCGCGUCCCAUUAGCUAGUUGGUGAGGUAACGGCCCACCAAGGCGACGAUGGGUAGCCGGCCUGAGAGGGUGAACGGCCACAUUGGAACUGAGAAACGGUCCAAACUCCUACGGGGGGCAGCAGUGGGGAAUAUUGCACAAUGGAGGGAACUCUGAUGCAGCGACGCCGCGUGAACGAAGAAGGCUUUCGAGUCGUAAAGUUCUUUUAUAUGGGAAGAUAAUGACGGUACCAUAAGAAAAAGCCCCGGCUAACUACGUGCCAGCAGCCGCGGUAAUACGUAGGGGGCUAGCGUUGUCCGGAAUCACUGGGCGUAAAGGGUUCGCAGGCGGAAAUGCAAGUCAGAUGUAAAAGGCAGUAGCUUAACUACUGUAAGCAUUUGAAACUGCAUAUCUUGAGAAGAGUAGAGGUAAGUGGAAUUUUUAGUGUAGCGGUGAAAUGCGUAGAUACUAAAAAGAAUACCGGUGGCGAAGGCGACUUACUGGGCUCAUUCUGACGCUGAGGAACGAAAGCGUGGGUAGCAAACAGGAUUAGAUACCCUGGUAGUCCACGCUGUAAACGAUGAGUGCUAGGUGUCGGCUUAAGUCGGUGCCGCAGUUAACACAAUAAGCACUCCGCCUGGGG